This 613-nucleotide long non-coding RNA is filed under the name Olea europaea subsp. europaea. The record is from RNAcentral. Lineage: Eukaryota; Viridiplantae; Streptophyta; Magnoliopsida; Lamiales; Oleaceae.
CAAGAAAGAUCAUUAGGAGAGAUAAUUGUUUGGAGGAAGCUAUUCAAACUUGCAUGCAUUUCUUCAUCCUCAAUAUGCCUAUUUAUAUAUUUCUAAUCAGGCCUUGGAGGUAAAUGAGUCUUGUUAUUGGUGAUGUGUGGCAGUUAGUGAUUGAUUAACUUUUAGCUCAUUCUGUUAUCUGCUCAUGUUUUGUUCACCAACUAAUCCUUAUACAUUUGUUAAAGUAUAUUAGCUCGCAUUAUGCACCUAAGGUGCAUAAACCUUGACUCUUCAGAGUGGUUGGUUAGAUACACAAACUCAUGAAUAUUUUAUUGAUAAAACCAUUAAUGGGUCAAUCAUAGUCGGGCGCGGUAACACGCCAUGGUCCAAGGAAAGUUCCCUAGCCACUUCAUUCGGGUCAGUGCUUGCAUGAUACAAUGGCACAUGUAGUACACGCUCAUGGACCUCACGCACACGAGGCAUAUUUUGCAAAAUUGAUCAUGCUUUUGGAUUCCUUUGACCUGUUUAGAUAUGCAGAAGAUAUCGUAACAAGUUAAUAUGAAAAGAUUACACACUUCCUUAUACUGAGUUAGUGUGAAUAUAUUUCUCAUGCGGUUAAAGCAAAGGACAUGAU